RNAcentral lists this ribosomal RNA (462 nucleotides) under Triticum aestivum (bread wheat). RNAcentral's name for it is "partial small subunit ribosomal RNA". Lineage: Eukaryota; Viridiplantae; Streptophyta; Magnoliopsida; Poales; Poaceae. The record is from RNAcentral.
AUGCAUCAAGAUCAUCGAUCGUCAUGGACACGAAUAGAACAUACUGGGCACAAUGCACAUAGUUUGUAUCAUAGUGCCACAGUUUAUGAAAAUAAAGACGCUUGGAUUGGAUGCGUCUACCUCCAUCGGCAUACCCAACUCAAAUGCGAUCCACUCUUCAGAAUCAUAAUUAACGUUUUUUUUCUCUCAAGGGUAUGUUUGAAUAUUUCCUAUCUUCUUCCAGCCAUCAAACUUGUUCACUUUUCCCUGAAAGAAAUUAUGUCUUAUAUUUUGAUUCUAAACAAUUAUACUUGGCUUUUGAUCAUGAAAAGAACUUGUAUUUUUCUCUCAAAUUUUUUUGAACUUCUUUUAGCCGAAUAUUUUGAACUUUGGCUCCCCUCCAAUCCCCCACCAUUUUGUAGGAACCGUAUGAUACACAAGUUGGAAUACUCGAGCUCAGGAGCCAAAAGCAAUAUUUGGUAG